Asterias rubens (European starfish) is the source of this 556-nucleotide long non-coding RNA. RefSeq lists it as uncharacterized. Lineage: Eukaryota; Metazoa; Echinodermata; Asteroidea; Forcipulatida; Asteriidae. The transcript has 2 exons. The record is from RefSeq and is a predicted model, not a curated record.
AAAAACCAAAAUCAAUAACAAACUUAUGCUUACCAGAAUAUGGUUACCUACAUGUACCAGCCAAAAUACCAUCUCAUUUGUACCAUGUGACGGGAGCCCAGCUUGUUUUUGCUUAGCCGAAACAAUUCUUAAGCCGAAGAACCCAAUUUCAUAGAACUGCUUGCUAAAAAUAAAAUGAUGCUCUUCAAAUUAAUCUGCUGAAAGAAAAUAGAAGGGAACCGGUUACAAAGAGUUUACAUGUGAGACAAUUGCUGUUUUGGCUAGUAACCCGAUUCUACCUGAAGUGGGCAUUACAGCUCUAUUUUAUGUCAGGUUCUCAUUUUGAUACAAAACAAAUUAUCCUGACCAGAUAGUCCAGAAAGAAUUAUUCAACCAUUUUGAAGUUUUUGUCUUUUGUGAGAAUAUGACCUUAUUUCUCUUUAUUUGAAAUGAUUACAUCUUGCAAAAAUGUAUGUUCUUGAAUACAGUUGAAGCCUUAACUAUUUCUAUAUAUAAUAUAUUUGUGAAGCCUGCUUACUGUUUUAAAAGAAUAAAACAAACUAUAUUCUUCCUUUGA